Vigna unguiculata (cowpea) is the source of this 508-nucleotide long non-coding RNA. RefSeq lists it as uncharacterized. The record is from RefSeq and is a predicted model, not a curated record. NCBI's taxonomy places the organism in Eukaryota, Viridiplantae, Streptophyta, Magnoliopsida, Fabales, Fabaceae.
UCUCUCUGCCACCCACACCACUGAACUUCAUUUACACAGCACUGCACCUCUUCUCCCUCUUCUCUUCCUCUACCUUCUCUUUACCAAAACUUGAGUUCACUCUUCAUCUGUUGCAGAGUCCAGACCUGAGACUAGUUCAGGAUCUCCUCUUUCAUCUACAAUUCUCCCUCCUCCAUCUCACUGAGUGGUACAGCUGAAGCUCUUGGGUGGGAGGAUCCUAACUAAUUAGAAGGAUAUAUAUAGAGCUGAAACCAGAUGGAGAUACCCCCUCUUGAGUAGAAGUUGGAGCCUGGCAAGGAGUGUCCACUAUAGUUUAGAUUUCUACUGUAUAUUUUGAGGGUUUGGGUGUAGUUUAGCAUCCUUUCUACCUACUCUACCUGGUGUAUGUAUGUGUAUAUAGAUGUAGCAGUGUGGAGGACUGUACUAGAUACAUAUACCUUGUGUGUGUGACCGUUACCCUUACUAUCUGCUAUGUUUGAUCAUAUGAUAUAAUGUUUUGUUUGAUAGU